UCACCCCUCAAGCCCCCCGGCUUGGUGUUGGAGCCUCCGUUUCGGUACGGAUCUCUCAAAGACAAUGACGGCGCCCUCGUGGUUUCCCGGUACACUGAGCUUCCUAACCGAGCACGUACUGACGGAUCUCCGGGGCAGACGGUCUCCCUCCGCGAGGAGAAAAUUCUUCAA
RNAcentral lists this unclassified non-coding RNA (171 nucleotides) under uncultured Ascomycota. RNAcentral describes it as "sequence contains ITS2". Lineage: Eukaryota; Fungi; Ascomycota. The record is from RNAcentral. RNAcentral also lists the same sequence under 1 other name.